This 1491-nucleotide long non-coding RNA is filed under the name Anser brachyrhynchus (Pink-footed goose). Its description in RNAcentral is "lncRNA (ENSABRG00000001637.1)". Lineage: Eukaryota; Metazoa; Chordata; Aves; Anseriformes; Anatidae. The record is from RNAcentral.
UUCCCCUAUUCCUGGCUUUUAAGGGCAGGGGCAGAGUUGUCUCAGCCCCUAGGCCACUGGCCCGUCCUGCUGCUCUGCUCCGGGGGAGGAGAUGCUGGAGAAGCUGGCGGUAAGGAUUUUUCUCCCCUCUCUGCUAGGCAGCGGGAGGCUCUGGGGCCAUUCCCAGGACGGCAGCCCUCGCCUUGCCCAGCUCUGCGUGUUGGGGCUGCCUCGGCGGGGAGCGUGCCUGCCUCUUUGAAAACCCACAAGCGUUGCCUCAGCUUGCAGGCAGCCGGCGGCCGGGAGCCUCCCGGGGCUGUGCCUGCGCAGGCUGGGACAGGAUCCCCGCUUGCAGUGGCCAGAUGAGGUGUGGGCAGGAGGGAUGACCUCCCCCUUGCUGGGAUUCCUGGAGCUGGGCUGCAUCGGCCUCAGAUAUCCACCAGCUCCGUGGGUCAGUGAGCUCAGGAGGGAAUUGGGACCCCCCAUUCCCUGCAGGUUGCUUGGAUGAGGACAGGCGCAGCUUGGCUUUGGCUGGUGGCACCCGCUGCCCGCGCUGUCCCAAGGCAGGGCUGGUGCUGAGCUGUGGGCCGGGGCUGGACAGAGUCCUGGCCUCUCCUCCUUACCCCAAAAAAUGUCGAGGAGAGCCUCGCCUGUGGCUGGGAGAGGUGGCUGUGUGUCCGUGCGGAGCUCUCCUGAUGGCACGGACAGGGAGACACGUCCCAGACGCACCCCGAUCCUCCUGGAGGGCAGGGGAAGGGCCACGGCGAUGGUAACCAGGCACCCUGUUUGUUUGGGUGCAGUGCCCAUACGGGAUGGGAAAAGGAUGUGAGCUGACACAGGGAUUAGGGAGUAUCUGCUCACCGUUUCCCACACCAAAUACACCCUUCCAGUUAACAACAGCUCUCGAUGACUUCUUACACCUUGGAUACAGAACACACAGAAACAGGAUUACGGUCACGGGGCGGGGACUGGAAAGUAAAACUCGGCAGCGAGCACUCGGCCCAGGCAGGGGUGCAGAGCCCAUCGAGGAGGCUGCUGCAGGGAAAGGACCAUCUAUGCAGCUCGGCCAGGCAGGGCCAGCUCCUCCAAGUCCUGCUGGAGAAGAAUAAUGUCUUCUCUCCACCCAAGUCUCCCAUGUUCUUGGUGCUUGCUCUCCAGCACAUCGGUGCACCCAGAGGAGCAGCUGAGCUCGAGGAGAGGCUGAAGGCUGGCUGCCAACAGGGGAUGCUGAGCGCAGAGUCCUGGGGAGCGGGGCUGCUGCUCCUGGUGGCUCGGGGCUCGGCAGACCGAGGAAGGGAAGGAGCCCACGUGGGGCACGAGCAGAUUCGCUGCGUCCAAAUCCCCGUCAGCCAGCUCCUGCAACCUGCAGCCGUUCGGUGCAGGCGUGGAGAUCUGCUACGAAACACCGCGGCCCUCGUGGCAGCCUGCGAGUCGGGAGGGCUGGGCUCCGCCUCACCAAAAUCACCUCCCGUCUGCCAGGAACGGCAAGGAAAAUUUAUGAAACGGACGUGA